AAAAUUGUAUAAUUAAUAGACCAGAGUAGUAUUAGUUAGGGUCUUGAAACUCAAAAAAUUUGGCGGUAUUUUAGUCUAUUUAGAGGAACCUGUAGUAUAAUCGAUAAUCCACGAUGGACCUCACUUAAUUUUGUUUUUCAGUUUGUAUACCGCUGUUAUUUGAAGAUUUUAUAAGAAUAUUAAUUUUCAGGAUUUUUUAUUAAAGAAUAUAUCAGGUCAAGGUGCAGCUUAUGAUUAAGAAUUUAUGGGUUACAAUAAAAUUAUUUAAACGGAUUUAAAUAUGAAAUUAUUUUUUGAAGGUGGAUUUAAUAGUAAAUUUUUAAAGAUAAAAGAAUUGAUU
This 340-nucleotide ribosomal RNA is filed under the name Dolichopus nigricornis. Its description in RNAcentral is "partial 12S ribosomal RNA". Lineage: Eukaryota; Metazoa; Arthropoda; Insecta; Diptera; Dolichopodidae. The record is from RNAcentral.